RNAcentral lists this ribosomal RNA (665 nucleotides) under Salmonella enterica subsp. enterica serovar Kentucky. RNAcentral's name for it is "partial 23S ribosomal RNA". It matches the Rfam family "Bacterial large subunit ribosomal RNA", at positions 566 to 1215 of the family's 2925-position model. The record is from RNAcentral. Lineage: Bacteria; Pseudomonadati; Pseudomonadota; Gammaproteobacteria; Enterobacterales; Enterobacteriaceae.
CGACGCCCAACACACAAAACAAGCGGUGAGUGCUUUGGGGUGGGGUGACUGCGUACCUUUUGUAUAAUGGGUCAGCGACUUAUAUUCUGUAGCAAGGUUAACCGUAUAGGGGAGCCGAAGGGAAACCGAGUCUUAACUGGGCGUUAAGUUGCAGGGUAUAGACCCGAAACCCGGUGAUCUAGCCAUGGGCAGGUUGAAGGUUGGGUAACACUAACUGGAGGACCGAACCGACUAAUGUUGAAAAAUUAGCGGAUGACUUGUGGCUGGGGGUGAAAGGCCAAUCAAACCGGGAGAUAGCUGGUUCUCCCCGAAAGCUAUUUAGGUAGCGCCUCGUGAACUCAUCUUCGGGGGUAGAGCACUGUUUCGGCUAGGGGGUCAUCCCGACUUACCAACCCGAUGCAAACUGCGAAUACCGAAGAAUGUUAUCACGGGAGACACACGGCGGGUGCUAACGUCCGUCGUGAAGAGGGAAACAACCCAGACCGCCAGCUAAGGUCCCAAAGUCACAGUUAAGUGGGAAACGAUGUGGGAAGGCUCAGACAGCCAGGAUGUUGGCUUAGAAGCAGCCAUCAUUUAAAGAAAGCGUAAUAGCUCACUGGUCGAGUCGGCCUGCGCGGAAGAUGUAACGGGGCUAAACUGUGCACCGAAGCUGCGGCAGCGACGCU